RNAcentral lists this ribosomal RNA (253 nucleotides) under uncultured bacterium. Its description in RNAcentral is "partial 16S ribosomal RNA". It matches the Rfam family "Bacterial small subunit ribosomal RNA", at positions 524 to 776 of the family's 1533-position model. The record is from RNAcentral.
GACGUAGGGCGCGAGCGUUGUCCGGAUUUAUUGGGCGUAAAGAGCUCGUAGGCGGCUUGUCGCGUCGACUGUGAAAACCCGCGGCUCAACUGCGGGCCUGCAGCCGAUACGGGCAGGCUAGAGUUCGGUAGGGGAGACUGGAAUUCCUGGUGUAGCGGUGAAAUGCGCAGAUAUCAGGAGGAACACCAAUGGCGAAGGCAGCUCGCUGGAACGGUACUGACGCUGAGGCGCGAAAGCGUGGGGAGCGAACAGG